UGUCAUAUUCGUAUUUAACAG
Molecule: non-coding RNA, 21 nt
Organism: Caenorhabditis elegans
Lineage: Eukaryota; Metazoa; Nematoda; Chromadorea; Rhabditida; Rhabditidae
Source: Ensembl